This is a long non-coding RNA of Gallus gallus (chicken), 1259 nucleotides long. The record is from Ensembl. NCBI's taxonomy places the organism in Eukaryota, Metazoa, Chordata, Aves, Galliformes, Phasianidae.
CACAAGCAAAGGGCCAGGACUAAUUGCAAUCCCCAUCUCACGAAGCUCCUUCAGAGUACGACGAGGUCUGUCUUAGGGGCUGGAUGUGUUCACUUGGCUGAGCCUCUUAAUUCUGGGCCUUUGCAGCAGCAUUACCUGCAGAGACACUUUUCCUCUUUGCCAGUUUCUCCUGCCAACGUGGAGAUGACUCAGAGGCAAGUUCUGAGGACUUCUCUCAGAAAUUACUUGUUUCUGCUGGGCUGCUUCUACCUAUUACUUUGCUUGCACCUAAAAGAAAGAGAUGUAUCUGAAGCAGUUACUGAUUCUGGGGAUGCACUGAGUUACAGCUGGUACCAGAAGGUAACUGGAGUUUCUGAGGAGGACAAUCCCAGUCCUGCUCACCUCCCCAGAUCCCCACAUACCUUGUGAUGCCAGCGCAGCUCGCUCUCACUACGAUCAGCUUCUACCAACUACCCCAAAGCUGAAGGGAUGGGGAUGGCCUCAGACUUCCCCAUGGCAAAUCACCAACGCAUGUGACAGCCUCUCUCUCUCUGCAUACGUGGAGAGGCUUCCAGCCAGCGCUGUCGUGGAGUAAAGCUGAAAAUAUGCCUCUCUAAGGCUCAAAAGCCUGAAGGCAACAACGAACAAAUAAACCAAACCUGUUGUUUUGAACCCUAACUGAAAAGAAAGGUGGAGGAAGGUAAACAUGCUGUCAAGAUAUAUUGAAGACUUGUGAAAAUAAAGCAAUUUAAAACUGACAUCUAAGAGAAGAGUUCUUUCAUGGGUUUCCCUUUUUAAUCAUAUUCCCUCAGCAAUUACAAUUCAAAUGCUACAGCAGCGUGCAAACUUGUGCAUGAAAUGCAAUAGCAGAAUGAAGCGGCCAACAGUCAAUUAGAGUGAUACUCUGCAGUUCAUUCCCAUUGCAGGGAGAGAAUAAAACCUAAAAUUCGACCCAAAUGGGGAUUUGUGACAACGCUGCAUGCCAUGCCCCACCCCUGUGCACUCUUCUUCACACUCACCACUUUUUCCAGCCGCAGCUGAGGUUGUGCACGUGCAACAAAGUGAGCAGAGAGUUCUCGUGCAUGUCUCUGGAUCAGCACACUGCAUGUGGCUCUCUGGAGGGAGGAGGCAGGUAACGGGCUGGGAUGUAAGCUCUUCUUUCCCAUCCUCCAGUCCUCAUGAAGAAGUAGCAGCUCUUGUUCAUGCGAUCCCAAGGGAGGGAGGGGCUUGAAUUUUGGGUGGUCCUGUGUGGGGCCAGACAUGGGGCUAGAUAAUCCUUG